AAAUGCCGCCCGCCGGAGGCUGAACCGACAGGAGCUCCUCUCAGAGAGGGGGGGGACAGACUGAUCUCACACCGGCUCUCAGACGCGCUUUUGGCGCUGCGUCCCGCGCUCGACCCAGCCGGAUCCGGAACCUCAGGAAACCGAGCCCGAGCUGCAGAACCAGGUUUUCAGAAACUGUUGAAGAUGUUUCUUCCUCUGAUGAUCCUCCAGCUGCUGCUGCCUGCAGCCUUCACCGUAAGUUUUCAACCUAAAAACGACACGAUAAUUAUUCAGCAGAUAUUUAGAAACUAUGUGCGGUUAAAGCUCUAACUUUGAAAAUCUUACAGGAAAUG
RNAcentral lists this long non-coding RNA (332 nucleotides) under Oryzias javanicus (javanese ricefish). RNAcentral's name for it is "lncRNA (ENSOJAG00000003806.1)". The record is from RNAcentral. Lineage: Eukaryota; Metazoa; Chordata; Actinopteri; Beloniformes; Adrianichthyidae.